UUCGGUAGAUUGCUAGCGGCGGACGGGUGCGUAACACGUGGGUAACCUGCCCCUAUCACUGGGAUAACACACUGAAAAGUGUGCUAAUACCAGAUAAUAUAAGCUUUUGGCAUCAUUAGCUUAUCAAAGAAUUUCGGAUAGGGAUGGGCCCGCGUCUGAUUAGCUAGUUGGUGAGGUAACGGCUCACCAAGGCAACGAUCAGUAGCCGACCUGAGAGGGUGAUCGGCCACACUGGAACUGAGACACGGUCCAGACUCCUACGGGAGGCAGCAUUGGGGAAUAUUGCACAAUGGGCGAAAGCCUGAUGCAGCAACGCCGCGUGAGCGAUGAAGGCCUUCGGGUCGUAAAGCUCUGUCCUAUGGGAAGAUAAUGACGGUACCAUAGGAGGAAGCCCCGGCUAACUACGUGCCAGCAGCCGCGGUAAUACGUAGGGGGCAAGCGUUAUCCGGAAUUACUGGGCGUAAAGGGUGCGUAGGCGGUUUAUCAAGUCAGGGGUGAAAGGCUACGGCUCAACCGUAGUGAGCCUCUGAAACUGGUGAACUUGAGUGUAGGAGAGGAAAGUGGAAUUCCCAGUGUAGCGGUGAAAUG
This 588-nucleotide ribosomal RNA is filed under the name uncultured bacterium. RNAcentral describes it as "bacterial SSU rRNA". It matches the Rfam family "Bacterial small subunit ribosomal RNA", at positions 80 to 688 of the family's 1533-position model. The record is from RNAcentral.